Molecule: long non-coding RNA, 228 nt
Filed under: Lathyrus oleraceus (garden pea)
Lineage: Eukaryota; Viridiplantae; Streptophyta; Magnoliopsida; Fabales; Fabaceae
Description: Pisum sativum (pea) long non-coding RNA (PSAT_LNC016604)
Source: RNAcentral
UCUGUUCAAUCAUCUACGAGCAUGUGAUGCCCUUGUAGGUCACAUUUUUCGUGAUGCGACACAAAGAAUAUUAAAUCACAACGCAUAACAUGAACCAUGUUUCUAGAGGAUCUAAAGACCAAUCAUUAUUGCCAUCAUUCAUCUAACCUAUGUUUUUCUUCAGUAAAUAUCUGUAGAAUAUUUCUUGGUAGCAUUUCGGCAUAAGGUAUUUUCUAAAUAGAAUCCCUG